This 272-nucleotide unclassified non-coding RNA is filed under the name plant metagenome. Its description in RNAcentral is "partial contains small subunit ribosomal RNA, internal transcribed spacer 1, and 5.8S ribosomal RNA". The record is from RNAcentral.
UUUCCGUAGGUGAACCUGCGGAAGGAUCAUUAAUGAGUUGUCAUGGGGUUCGAUGCUGGCAGCCAGUUUUUGGAUGCAUGUGCUUGCCCUAACAAUCAUCUUCUUCCAAACACCUGUGCACAUUUUUGAGGGAGUCUUGAGUUGGUUGCCGCUCUUGGGUGAUUUUCUCACAUUCCCUUAAAUCAUUAUAUGCUAUUAACAAUGUUGAACGUGCUCUGUACCGCAAGGCCAUUAAUAUAAUACAACUUUUAACAACGGAUCUCUUGGCUCUC